CCAAAACGAACUUGAAGUAAAAUACUUAGCGUUCAAUUGGAGUAGGUUCUGAAGCUCUUAUUAAGUGUUGCAUCCAGAUAUUGAAUAUUUCUUUUGGAGCAGAAGCAGAGGUCCUUAUUUCAAUCCGAGGUCGAGGAGAGGAGAAGGUAGGUCAACGAAUUUCCGUCCAGGGUUCGGUACAUGUAACAGUAGUUGUAAUAAUUUGUAGCCGGUCUGAGGAUCACGGGGGAAAGCCUCACAAUAAUCCAGCAUUUUGAAUCUGGCGCGGUCUCCCUAUGUAGCGUGAGGAGACCGCGUCAGAGAAGGGGGCGUGGCUGUGCUCCGUCUACCCGGAAGUGCCUGGGAAAUGGCGUAACCGACAGGUAUAACCUGACAAUACCAAAGAGCUCAAUUUUUGGUCUCAUCUGACCACAACACUUUCACCCAGUUCUCCUCUGAAUCAUUCAGAUGUUCGUUGGCAAACUUCAGAUGGGCCUUUACAUGUGCUUUCUUGUGCAGGGGGACCUUGCAGGCGCUGCAGAAUUUCAGUCCUUCACGGCGUAGUGUGUUACCAAUUGUUUUCUUGGUGACUAUGGUCCCACCUGCCUUGAGAUCAUUAAUAAGAUACUCCCGUGUAGUUCUGGGCUGAUUCCUUCACCGUUCUCAUGAUCAUUGAAACUCCACGAAAUGAGAUCUUGGAGCACCCAGACCAAGGGUGACUGACCGUUAUUUUGUGUUUCUUCCAUUUGCGAAUAAUUGCACCAACUGCUGGUCUACAAUCUUGUCCCUGACAUCUUUGGACAGCUCUUUGAUCUUGGCCAUGGUGGAGAGUUUGGAAUUGGAUUGAUUGCUUCUGUGGACAGGUGUCUUUUAUACAGGUUACAAGGUGAGAGUAGAAGCACUCCCUUAUAAGUAUUUGAUUCCCUAUCAAUCAGCAAGAUUUCUGGCCCCCAGGUGUCUUUUAUACAGGGAACACUCUGUAUAAAAGACACCUGGGAGCCAGAAAUCUUGCUGAUUGAUAGGGAAUCAAAUACUUAUUUCACUCAUUGACAUGCAAAUCAUUUUAUAACUUUUUUGACAUGCGUUUUUUUUUUGUUUUGUUAUUCUGUCUCUCACUGUUAAAAUACACCUACCAUUAAAAUUAUAGACUAAUCAUUUCUUUGUCAGUGGGCAAACAUUCAAAAUCAGCAAGGGAUCCAAUAUUUUUUUUUUUUUUUACCUCACUGUAGCUAAUACAGUUCCAUGACGUACUGUGCCUAAUUCUCUCCCUGUCCACCCCCAUAUAAUUGUGUUCAUGAUGUCUUUAUUCUAAUCUCACAAAUGCUGCUUACAGUGUGUUGUGUGUAUGGGUGCUGCUUGUGAUAUUGAUGCAUUCGAUGUGUAUAUAGUGCCUGUGUAUGAGGGUAACUGUGUGCGCAUUAGGACUGACUAUAAUGGUUGCAAAGUGACAGUGUGAGUAAGUGAGGCAAGGUUAGUGUUGGGGUGACUGUGAUUGGGGGCUGAGUAUGGCAGGCAGGGCCAUUGCAAGGAUUCUUGGCUACACAGGAAAAAAAAUCAUUUUUUUUUAGAUGUGUCUUUCUUUACCCGCCCCCCCCUCCACCCUAUUGGUGCUUUUUGGUAAUUGCAAAGUAUGCCCAAUUUUAGCAGGCAAUGGUAGCGCUGGGUCUGGUGGCAGGGUGAAUAUGGGGACUUAAUUUGCGUGGGUGCAGUGACAGAACUGCAGUACUGCCACUAUGAAGAGAAAUUUUUUUCCCCUCACUUUUCUUACACUACCAAUCACCCUGCACAGUCCAGAAGAGCGCCCACACUCCAAAACCACCUGGUGACUAGCCUCACAGGGAAAGCCGUGAGCCUCCUAGAGGUCACUCUGAAUGGCUGUGUGGAACUCUCUAUCAGAUAACCGGGUGUCAAUUGAACACCGUGAGUGCAAGAGGGGGAAAGCUAUCCGGGAAAAGACCUGUGUUGCUUAAUUAUGCUUUAUAAGUGUUUUUGAGGUAUACUGUAAUGGCAUCCUGAUAUCUGGGGGAUAAUUAACUUGGCAUUUACAGAUCUAUCUCCCAGACACAGAGGCGGCAGGAUGGGAUUUUCAUUGUUCAAACCAUGGUCUCGCUGUUGUGGUCGUGUGUAAAAAAAAUAAAAAUAAAUGUGCCGUGUUCUUAAUAAAACAGUUUUUAUUCACCCUUCACAAAGUCUCGACUAGUGUUUGGGUGAGACAGCUAUAAUCACGUUAAGUAUCCAGCGCUUAAAGAGUGGGACCCUUUUGGAGAAACUCAAACGGAGUGCUCAGGCCAUUACAUCAAGUAACAGCAACGAGAUCUCUUCUCUCGCUCUGGGGAUACCCUUGGAGGAAAAACUAUGGUUGGUCAUCCUCAGCAGAAGAUGCAGAGUUGAUGGAGUGGUGUAAUGAGAAACUAAAGAGGAGCACGCUGAAGGAACUGCUGGAAGCAAGAGGUCAAAUUGCCAACAAUAAACCUAAAACCGCAUUGAUUGCAGCACUUGUGGAGGGUGACUGGGGCAGAAACCCGUCCACCAGCUCCUUCUCUAAUGAGACCAAUUUUCAGCAGGAAAUGCGAAACCAGCUUGCAUUCUAUGGUCUGAAUUCAAUGAUUGGAUGUAGUAAAGAUUGUGAAUGCCUCACAACAAGUGGCUCAUGAGCAUUAGAUUAUGGCUGCCCGAGAUUCAAGAACUUCGAGGGAGUAAGGCAUCUUCAAAUGGAUCUUCGAAUAGGGGAAAAAGCAAGAUGCAAUUUGCUGCCUUUAAACCCUUCCUGGAGACAGACCUCAACGGGUCUGUGUGACUUUGAGAGGCAUUAUACCCUUCACGAAAUUGACCCACAUGAUGGGUCUCUAUUUUGGCAGUUAUUGGGGUUGGCAGCAGAGGCAUACGCACCAUUAUGGACAAAGAUAUAAUGAAGUAUGACAGAGUGAAAGAAACAUCACUGGCAUGGUAUGCUGUUACCCCAGCAUACUGCUGCCAAUUACGGGACUCAAAGAAAGGGGAGAAAGUCUCUCAUGCCGAGUGGGCCUGUCGCUUCCACAGGGCAGCAGUGAACUGGAUACAUGGCUGCCAGUCUACCACUGUGGCGAAUGUGGUGCAAUUACUGUUAUCUGAGCAAUUUUGAGGUUUUUUUUUUGUUUGCCUAUUGCGAGGUGCCGCAGGAAUUGACAGGGUUCUUCCUGUUUGAAUUAUAAUAUGGGAAGGAAUUACUAGUAGGAAAUGUAAAUAAUUUCAUGGCAGUUUGUGGGUUAAUGUAGGUGGACCGUGCCCAGAAGUCCCACUUUACUAUUUCUGUGCAGUUGUUUAUGAAUGGGUGAGUGAAUGUGUGUAAGUAUAUGUUUAUGUCUUUGAGCAGCAGAUGGCCGUUUUCCAUGUUAUCUUCUCUAAUAGCCCCCUGGUUGUGGGGAAAUCCAAUUAAUCAGCAUGUUAUGGCAGCAUGGAGGUGUUUACUUUGCAGUGUAUGCACAUGCUUAGAUCAGAGGUCAGGAGAGACAAUUACAGGCAUGACUGAAUGUGGAUCGACAAUUUAUUGAAAUGGUUGGCUGCAAUACAUUAGGGUGAGGGUACUCUCACAAACUGCACUUAUGGGACAAGUCAGCUCUGUUUUAGUGAUCAGUCAUUCAGAACGUUUCAGUCAAAUACAAUGAAAAACAUGUCAGCCUCCCAGUGUUUGGAAAACAUACUACAGUGGUCAGUUUGCAUCAGUCGAAGAGCAUCUAGGACCAAGCAUUUAAUUUAUUGGGUGGUGAAAAAGCCCUGCUCAUUGAAAAGGCCACAUUCUCUUUCCAAUUUUGUUGUAGGUCUGCAUUAAUUUUCUGAUAUAUUUAUUAUUUGAUGCCCAAAAUAAAUGAGUUCGGAAAAAAAAAUGCAAGAACUCAAAAUAUUUUUAGAGAUAUGUCCAAAUAUAAUGAGUUUAGGCAUUAAGGCUUAAUGGUACAAUAAAGGAGAGGGAGAACCCAUCUCUGUUCAAACUCUGGAAAGAAAAGACUGUCCUCUCAUUCCGGCAGUUCAUUUGUUAAUAAGCCGCACUGUAACCAGCAAAGUUAGUACCAAAGCUACUUCUCUAAAAUUCUACCGGAGUAUAGCAUCAAUCUUCCAAUCAAUAAAACCAGCUGAAACUAAGCUAGCCAUAGCCAAAUCAGGAACAAAUUAUAAGAUAUUAGGUGACAUGUGAGUUAAAAUGAUGAAGCCUGUUGAAUAUGAAGUGUGUCACUAGAUGCUAUUAUAUACAGGCAAUGUUAUUUCCUAAAGUAGGAAUUCAAACUAAAUUUCAUUGAAGGCCAAACUGAUUUGGAAAAUGUUUCCAGUUUGGCUAUUUUGAUCUUAUAAUAUAGUAUUAUAUAUACCUUUCUAGUAUAUAUUAAUAUACAACUUUUAGUAUGUAUGUAUGCAUUUAUUGCUGCAUUUUUUUCAUUGGGGUAGAGCUAAAAACAGCUUUCAAAAGCUGCAAAUCUGAUGACUAUAACCUUUGCAGGCCCUCCUCUUCUUCACCAGCUAAUUCUUUCUGUGGCUGUCCAAUCACAGACUUCCCAAUGCAGCUUUAUGAGAAGACUUUGCAAAGCAGGUGCUGUGCGCUAUUGCCCAUUGAGCAAAACAAUCCGGAUGUAACAGGAAUGGUUGUCUGACAGUCAGGGAAAUUUGCACUUUUUGUAAAAUGAAAGAGGACACGUUUCACACAUUUAACACUCCAGCAAGAGUAAGUGCUUAUGGUGUUUGGAGUGUUCUUUUAAAUUUGAAAUUAAUUUUGAAUUCUCACUUUAAAUAACCGUGUUGGCCUUAUAUGGAUGAAUAAACACUAAAGAAAACUCGAUUACUCCAGAUCCAUGUGUAAGUUACCUUCUUAAAAAAAUGCAACACUUACUGUAACUUACUGUAUGAUUCAGUUUUCAAAUGCAACAGAAAUUCGGAAUAUUCCAGAGACUGUUAUUAGUUUUUACUACUUAUUAUAAGUUUCUCUAUUUCUUUAAUACCGUUUCUUUGCUUUGUUUUUUUUUUUUUUAAUACUUUUCUUCCAUUAACUAUUUUUAUUGUGAUGAUAAAAUGUUUAUCAAAGUAAUUUUAAUACUAUGUUGUGUAGGGCAAUGUCACAUUUGACAGGUUCUGUUCUGUUAUAAAAUUAUCAAGUAAAGCAACACUGACUCCAAUUUGUUAUACAAGUCAUUAUAUCUACAAUGCAAUCUUUCAGUGUGUCCAUCAGAGGUGAUAUCUGGGCUGUAGAAAUAAUGUUAUAUAGUCAGUAGGGACUAUUACUUUAAGGGUUUCUCCAACUACCAUGACCACUUCUGCUUUUAGACAUAGACAUGAUGGGAAGAGUCUGUAUGUGCAGUGUUUCUGCUUGAAACUUUGCACAUACAGAGAUAUUUGCACUUUUGUGCCAGGGAUUAGUUGCACCGAUGGCACAUGCAAACUUUACGAACAUUACAUCUGUUGUCAACGAGCACUGUGCACUGGUGACAUAUGUAAUGAGCUUCUCCCUUGCAGGCAGCAUACCCGCAAUCGGGAGCUUCAGUGUCCCGUCCAUCUGGUCCUUCCUUGCCUCCCCUUUUAGGUUUAGUAUAUAGCCUUUUUAAAAAUCCCACCCUCACUCCCUUCCUUUCCUCUCUGGUUCAGAGCAUGCACAAAAGCAGUGAUGUAGAUGUUUGCAUGAAAACCAGCGCAGAGAGCUUUGCCUGGCGCUGCAUUUCAAAUAUGUUUGUUCUUAAUUUAUAUGGUUUUACAGGUGGGGGGGAGGAUUGCUAGUAUCCAUUUAAAAAAAAAAAUACUCCGGGCGGGGCCGGACCGCCGAGUUGGUCGGUCGCAAGGGUGAUCAACUCCGGCAAAUCCCUCUACUUUAAGCCUAUAAACCUACGAAUUUCAGCCUGAAAGCUGACCGACAGCUCUGGUCCUUGCCCCAAAGGAGGCACUGUAUCCAGGGAGAGGCUGGCUCCUUGAGCUUCAGUCCCCUGGAGGAGGAAUCUUUGAAACCCCAGAUGGGGCCUACUCCGGCGGUGAGUGGGGCGGACGGUCGCUGCCCCACUAUCCCGCCCAACGAUGCCUGACCUGAAGGCCCGGAGCAGAGUGGAUCUGGCCCUGUUCCCCCCAUGGGAGUAGGAACCCAAAAAAAUCUGGGGGGGAUAGCAUUUUUACUCGCCGAGUAUAUUCUUAUUCCGUAAACUAGGAGUUGUUUAUCCCAUUGUACAGCGCUACGGAAUUUGCAGUUGCUAUAUAAAUGAUUAAAUAAUAACAUUAAAGGGUCACUACAGGGAAGGGAUUUUACUUACCCGGAUACAGCGCCGGGAUCCUCCUGAUGCCGCGCCCCCUAUUUCGUCAAAAUGACGAAACAGGAGGGUGCGAGCAGGGAGCAAUAAAACACUUCUAUUCAGAAGCGUCAUUGCUCUCUGAUGCGGAUGCGCAGCUUUGCCGCACAUGCGCAGAUACUUCAUAGGGCGGCAUUCAUGUCUCGACUAGGAAGCACCUCUAGUGGCCACCUGAGUGUCCACUAGAGGUAUUCCUCAGCAGUAAUGUAAAUACUGCCUUUUUACGAAAUGGCAGUGCUUACAUUAAAAAGCCUGCAAAGACGUGCUAUAGACACCAGAACUACUACGUUUAGCUGUUGUGGUUCUGGUGACUAUAGUGUCCCUUGAAUAUAGAGAGGAAAAAAGAAUCAUCACAAAUGUCAGAAAUAAAAUGUCUGUAUCAUUAUUCUAAAAAUUAUUUAAAAAAAAUAAAUAUGCACAUUCCUAGCUUAAUUUUUAGCAUGACAUAUGACACAAACAUUUUGUACUUUGCAGAUUACUUUUUAUAUUUUUUUAUACAUAUACAGAUUGUGUAAUACUGCCCCUGACUUAGGGUGACCACAUUUCCUAACUGCCAUUCAGUGACACUUUCAGAAAUGCAUUCCAUACAUUUUACUACCCGUCUCUACCCCUUCCAUUUAUAUAAGAACCCCUUUCCAUGUAAAUUAGAGAUUAGUGCCACGAAUAAUAUGCUAGAUUGCCUACUUACAACCAGAUGAGGAUGAUGAUGGGCUCUAGCUGCAGUCUGGCUCCACUGGUCUGGUGUAGAGCAGCUCCAUUUUUUGGGGGCCCUUUACACAGCUCAAGGUCUGGGUCCCAGGGUCCACCUUCAUGUUCGACCAAUGAGUUUGUUCACAGGGGGUGGAGUGUGUAGGGGAUGUCCUGAUAUGUGUGUAAGGAAUGCAUUGUGUGAAUCUGUGUUUGUAUGUGUAAGGGCUGCAAGGUGUGUUUCUGUGUAUGUACGGGAUGCAGUGUGUGCGUCUGUAAGGGGUGCAUUGAGUGUGUGUACGGGGUGCAUUUAGUGUGUGUAAGGAAUGCAUUGUGUGUUUCUGUGUGUUUAAGGUUUGCAUGAUUGUACGAUUGUGUGUGUGUGUGUGAUGGAUGUCAAUCUUUCUCCCCUCCCUUGUCACUCUCUUUCUCCCCUCCCUCCCUCCCUUGUCACUUUCUCCCCUCCCCUUGUCACUCUUUUCCCCUCCCUUGUCCUUUUCCCCCCUCCUUGUCACUCUCCCCCCUCCCUUCACUCUUUCUCCCUCCCCCCCCUCCUUGUCCUCUUUUCCCCCCCUCCUUGUCACUCUUUCUCUCCCCUCCUCCCCCCCUCCCUUGUCACUCUCUCCCCCUCCUCCCUUGUCCUCUUUCUCCCCCUCCUCCUUGCAUCUUUCCCCUCCUCCUUGUCCUCUAUCUCCCCCUUGUCCUCUUUCUCCCCUCCCUCCUUGUCCUCUUUCUCCCCCCUCCCACUCCUAGUCACUCCUCUCCCCCUCCCCCCCCUUGUCCUCUUUCCCUCCCUUGUCCUCUUUCUCCCCCCUCCCUCCGCCCUCCUUGUCACUCUUUCUCCUCACACCACGCUGCCCUCCGGUCACUCUUUCACCCCCCACCUCAGUUGUAGCGUGGCCGAGCCCAGUAUAGUCCACGGGUACAGGGAGCUUUUGUUUCCUGUACCCGGCCAGACUUACAGGAAGUGAACACUCAGUGUUCACUUCCUGUUAGUCCGGCCGGGUACAGGAGACAGAUGCUCCCUGUACCCGCGGACCAUACCAUAGAGCGCUCGGCCACGCUACAGGGAGGGAGUGACAGGAGGGAGCGCUGAGCGCUUCCCUCCUGUCAGCCCCUCUCCCCAUGCUGCGCCCGGGCGGUGCGGUCCGCCCUCAUGGACGCACCGCCGGGCAAAGCUGCAGCCGCCUGAGGUUCUCUACAGAGUGCUCAGGCGGCUGCAGCAUGGGGGGGGCGGUGGGGCUGGGGGGGAUUUCCCCAUAACCUGUCCCCCCCGCAUGAUUUGCUGGGGGGGAUGCGUCCCCCCAUCCUCCCUGGUUCCUACGCCCAUGCUGGAGAGGCGCAUGGAGGACACCCCCGAGUAGAGACUCAAAUGGAUGUCCUGCCUGAGUGUCCCGCCGAACUACACCUGCAUACUAUGGGCACUACACAGGCAAGAUCCAGCACCCAUGAUGAACUGACCACAGGCCCCCGAGAUGACCAUGUAACUUCCCACUGCAAAGUAGCAGCUCUGUCCUUAAAUGUUUUACUCCCACUAGCCACUUGACAGGAUGGAAUGGUGGCCUGGUGCCAUUAGUAUUAAAUCAUAAUGUGGCUGCGAAAAGUUACACCUGCAGGAUAUUGUGCCCUUAGUUUAACUCAGCUAGACCGGUGAGCCUCGGUUAGCUACAGCAUGCUAAAUUGUUUUAAAGUAUUCUAUUCUGUGAAAAGCGCCCCACUACUCUCUGCAACAGGGCCUGGUCUCCCAGUGGCAAUAACAGUUUGUACCUUUCUAAGGUUUCACUAGCCUAUUAUAAUAACCUGUAACAACGCAAGCUCCUAGCAAACCAUGUCUUAGACCCGAUCUUAGUGAUGCUAAACGGUUGGCCAUCUCAACAAGGGAUAUAAUGCAUGUCUGUAUACGCUUGCGCUGCGACUAAUUCUUGUUUUACGUUUUAAACCAAAAAAUGUGUGCAGCUACUCAUGACAUACUGAGUUUAUACUUGAAGCCUGUAACCAUUCAUAAUGCAACUUAAAUCUAUGUCAAUGUUACGCAAUGUUUGUUUUCAUUGCACUCCAAAAAUAAAGAAUAUAUAAAAAAUAAAAUAAAAAAUACUUCAAGCACUAAAAGCACUACAGUCCCUGGCCACAGCUCUCAAGCCAAUUUGUAUUCACCAGCUCAACAUGUUUGUAUCGAAAUAUACAGUCAUAAAAGUAGCCUACAUAUUUUUUUCUCUAAGCACCAUAACCACUACAGUCAGUUGCCAUAGUUAUGGAGCCAGGAGUGCCCUGGCAAUCUCCCAGUGUAAUUUGCUAAACUGUUUUAGAACAGGUUUAUAUGUUGCUUGGGACCCGCUGGGUGCCCACAGUUCCAUCCGCUGCUUUUGGAUUCUCUGUGCAGGAAAAUCUAGUUGGCUCCACUGAACUAAGCAGGCCUGUGCUUAUUAGCUGAGAGUGCCUAGCUGACGCUAUAAGCCAAUGAGUACAUUCUGUAUUGGCAGUGUUUAGGAGGCAGAGUGACUCUUCACUUGGGUCUUAUUAGUGUUGGCAGAGACACUUGCCUUACUAGCACUAUUAUAAUGAUGUGUGUUAUCCAAAAUAACUGGGUUUAACCAGGUGACUGUACUUAGUUACUGGGCAUUAUGUUCAUAUACAGACAUUAAAAACAUUAUCAAAAAAAUGCAUAAUUUUCAAAUAUAAAUUUCCAAUUUAAUUUAUUCAUUUUGUCUUGAGUACUAUUUGAGAUAAAUUGCAUUUCUGUUUUCAUGCUUAUUUAUUAGGACUGAGGUUGUUUCAAUAGCAGUGGUAUUCAAUAAUGAAAUGUUCUGGGUAGUAAAUCCUAACAUUUGCCUUUUCUUUGGCUAUUUUGAGCCAUGACUAGGCUAUUUGGGUUAAGCACCUUAUCACCCAUUACAAGUGUCCAGUCAUAUAAAUUGUAGGAGAGAUGUUUGUAACAGAAAGAGAACAAUAAUGCAGGUAAGUAAUGCAGCCUGGGACAUACUAAUAUCCCAUAUUGGGAUACACCAAUGCUGGGAUAUUUUGACAAAAUAAUGUGUUUAACAUUGUGUGACCAAGGGAUAUGUGAUGGAAUCCUUAUGCUUUUUACUUGAUACAGGUAAUUAUAAAAGAAUAUUAUAGCGUUAGGAAUAAACACUUGUGUUUCUAAUGCUAUAGUGCCCUAAUCUGUAUUCAGAUUAGACUGCAAUAAAAAUAUUUUUUAAAGUUUUACUUACCGUUUCUUACCUUUUUUUCCAUCGUGCUGCUCUCUCCACCUACCAUGAUGUCAAGUGCUCGUGAUGCAAAUCCAGUCAAAUGCCUCUCAUAGGAAAGUGUCAAAAGGACAAUAUAGUCACCAGAACAACUACAGCUUACUGUAGUUGUUCUGGUCAGUAUUGUCAGUCCCUGUAGGCUUUUUGCGGUACUUUACAUUGCUGCUUAGGGACACCUCCAGUGGCCACUCCUCAGAUGGCUACUAGAGGUUCUUCCUGGGGCAGUGUGCAACACUAACAUUUAGUGGCUCCACCCUCUGCAUGGAGACACUGAACUUUUCUCAUAGAAAUGCACUGAUUCAAUGCAUCUCUAUAAGGAGAUGCUGAUUGGCCAGGGUGGCUUUCACGGAAGCUCCUGUGCCACAGCCUGCUGGAGAGGCAUAACAGCUAGCCUCCUUCCCACAGACUAUGUUCCUGGUCACAUACUUUAAAAUGAUAUAUAGGAUAUAGAGGUUCAUUGUGUUAAUGGUGAGUUAUUAUGUAAAAUGUUGAGCUGGAUGAAAGCUAUUGUCUUAAUUGUAUUAUGUAAAAGCUAUUGUGCUAUGUGUCUAGCAGGAAAUUAAGUUAUGUCUUGACCCAGUUAUGUCCCAGACACCAAGACACAUGGCAAAUGAGUUAGUUUAUACUGAAACCAGACUUCCAGGCCAAUUAUGUGUGACUUCUCACACCUCACAGAGUAGCACUGCUUCAAAGAGAAAUUUAGGUUGUAAGCUCUGACCUCCCAUACAAUCAAAUUAAACCCUUUUGAAAUUGACAAUACCACCUCUACCAGGCAGCCAGUUCAUAUAUGCACGAACUUCACUUUUGUUUUACCGAACUGAUCUGAGCGCUUUUUGGAUAUGUUGUGCGCUCAGAUCGGGGCUAUUCUGGAAUAAAAGUGUUUGUGGAGUUCCGAUGCUGUUAUGUAUUUUUGUGAUAUGAAAAAUUGUAUGUAAUUUUUCCUAUGUGAGAGAUAAUUGGAUUAGCUUAAUUGGAGCUCAAUUAUCUCUCAAACACAAUGGUUUGUGGGAAGGAAAGCCCUGUGAUUUUUGUAUUAGAAAUCCCGCACUGCAUAAGAAGCAGAGUGUGUCCUAAUAAAGUUCAGAUUGCUGCUUUUACCCAAUACAAAUGGUUGCAUCCAUUAUAUUGGGGGAAACUCUACACAAAGGGAAUACUUUUACUAUAUUCAGCACAUCUGGAAUUAGGACUAGUGGAGGAUUCCGGGAAUAACAGCAAUAGACUCACAAACCCAUGACAGUGACGUUUGGCCCCGGCCUGCCUCUUUGGCUGAGAUCAUCAGAAUUGACAAUCUUAGCCAAUCCAAUGCUUUCCUACAGGUAAGAUUAUAUUUAGGGAGGGAAAUGGGGGACGAGGUGGGCUAGAUAGUGGUUUUAACACUAUAGGGUCAGGAAUACAUGUUUGUGUUUCUGACCCUAAAGUGUUCCUUUAAACGGAAUUCUUUCCUAUGAGCUGCAUUUGAUGACAUUUGAAGUUCUCAUGGAUGUUGAACAUCACAUGACCAAGUUUCACUUGGUUGUUACAUAGGAAGCACCUCUCGAGACUGUCAGGAAGAGAGCCACUAGAGGUAUGUUUAACCCUAUAAGGUAAACAUUGCCUUAAAAAAAAAAUAAAAAAAUAAUGCAAUGUUUUAAAUUGCAGUGGUAAAAGUACACUGUCACUGCACCCAAAACACUUCAUUGAGAUGAAGUUGUCUGUGUACAUUUAGUGGUUUUUAAAUAGUUUAGAAAGAUGUGAAAUUGUAUAUAUUUUUGGUAUUUUUAAUGCUUCAAAUUUUUCAAAAAAUGCUAUAGCGACAGCAUAACUUCAAAAAUAAAACAUAUGGUAAAUAAAAUUGUGUAAGUUAACAUUAUUUAAUUUUUUUCAAAUCUUUGAAGACUAGAAACAAUCACUAUUUAUUAUGGGUUUCAAAUAAAUGCAGCACUAACAUUUUUAAAAAUAUAAAUAACUUGGUAGAGAACUCAGAGGUCCAAUCUGUUUGGAAAUUGAGAAACAGUUUCUAUUUCCAUAUGAUCAAUACCAGCACUUGGGUAUUAUUUUGACCCACACCAGAACUCAAUGCAUCACCCCUGCUUUAUAUUACAUAGGUACAAGGGUAUAUACACCUGAGGUUUUAAUUUGUGAUGUCCUGAUGCCCUUACAACAAAUGAGAAGAUAGCUCAUUUAAUGUGUGAAACAGAGAUGAUAUUUUCUUAACUAUCUUAAAGCAUUAUUUUACACUCAAGAAUAUUAACUUGCCAAUGUCAACAAUAACAGAUGGCGCUCAGAUGUUUGGCAAGUCUAGAAAACUGCAGUAGAAAUCUCUCUUAAAGGGUGCUGCUGGAAUGUGGCAUGUCCAUGGGAGUUCACCUGGCCAACCCUCACAUGGGCAUACAAUCAGAGAGAAAGGAGAGACUGUACUGUAGCCAAUACUUAUCCUUUUAGUUUGCUGCACUUGGACUUCUAGUAGGCUUCACUAGAGCCAUGUAGCUCAGAACAUAGUAAUUAUGCUGUAUGUAAUGAAAAGUGUAAUUAUCAAUAAGAAAGUCAUCCUACCAGCUCCAGGAAUAUAAUGGCAGUCAACAUAUAUGCACAUAAGGAGUCAAUCCUUUGGUCCAGGAAAACAAAUUGGGUUACUUUGCUUUUUCAAUGCAUCCUGAAAGGGUAAAAUAGCAACAUCAUCUUCAUCAGGACACAGGCAAUUGCCCAUAAUAAGAUGUCCGCAAUGGCAUUCUUGCAUUCCCCAUAGCAGUGGGGAACCCUUAGAAACUGGUAAGGGUCUAAUGAUAGUAAUUGGCAAAAUCUAGCAGAUAUAUAUUCAUAAUAAGUACAUUACAAUAUUACAGCUGGAGAAAGCGUCAAUGAGCUCAUUUUAGAAAUGAAGAUAAAUGUUUAAACUACUGUCAUGUCUGUGUGAGCAAUGGCUAUAAAGCUCUGCUAUUCAUCAUUUCCCACCUCUUGUAAACCCUUAUACCAGGUGUCCGGAUGAAAGUAAAUGUUAAAAAUGUUUAGUGAGAUCCACUCUUUCACCAAUUCCUUUGAUACUUCAUUGAAUAGAGAGUUCUUCAGAACCCAUGACCAAAUCUAAAUAAACUGAUGUUUUCCAGUCUGCCAUAUCCCCAUGAUAAAAUAAUGAACGAGCCAAAAAUCCACCAAUUGUCUUGAAUAGCUAUUGUACCUUUUCUCUACAGGUACAGACUAACUGGCAUUAAACAUAUCAAAGUCAAUCAAAGCACAGAGAUGCCUUACAUUUGUCUGAGAAUAUUGAGAAAUGUUUCAUAACAGUUAUGUGUAAGUAAAAUCCUUUAAAAAUAAAUUAUUUUAAUACUUAAAGAAGCACUAUAGCAAAGUUGUAUUCCAAACACAAUAGUGUCCGUGUCUCUAAUUAGAUUCAAUACAAGAAAAGGGUUGGGACGGCAUAUGUUUGGUAUAGUGACUGUGCCUCCAGUAAAGAGGUGACAAAACCCCAGCUGUAGUAUAUAAUAAAGAAAAGGAAUGGGCACAGGUCUACAAUUCAGACCGGUAUAUUGGACGAAGACCAGCAAUGUUUCGGCUCCUGAUAGAGCCUGGAUCAAGGCUAAUCAGCUAAGUAGAUUGAAGGCCCCUCCCUUUGCUGUUUAAAACCUGUAAAAAAAAAAAAAAAACAUUUUUUACAUGCCCUUUUCCAUUGCCAAGAUUUCCUCGGCACUGCUGCCUGAUCCGCCUCCUGCGAUGUCCUCAGGAAGGCAUUGCUUCCUCAUCAUUUGUCCAAUUGUUCAUCAGACGUGCAUGCGUGGUGAACACGCAUCUAAUCAAAUGCUUCUAAUAGGAAAGCUUAGAAGGAGGACAUUGAACGUCAUGUGACUAAGUCCAAUUUGGUUAUACAGCAGAAACUGCCACUAGAAACAUGUUUAACAGGUUUUCUGCAAAACGGCAAUGAUUUAUCUUGAAGGGUUAAAAAUGUAGACCAUUGCAUCCAGACUGCUUUAUUGAGAUUAAGUGGUCUGGGUGACUUUAGUGUUGAUUUAAAGGAAUGAUGCCUAGGAAUUAUAUUAUGUCAAUAGACAUCAAUAUCAUUUAAAAACAAAAAUAAAAUAAACAGCCCACAAAAUAGCCAUAUAAUUUGGUGUCUAUAAAAUAAAUACAUUUCAGGAAAUUGCCAAUGUGUUACUUUCCCGAGUCAAAAACACAGAGGAGCCAAAAUAAUUGGCUAGCUGUUCCAUCACAUGAACUUCUGUGCAUUGUAUAGUUACACUGGAUAUUAUUAAGUAUUAAAAUAGUGUUUUAAUUAAAACAAAGUUUACACUAAUUUUUAUCACUCAUUACUGUCCAUCAGAGUGAUGACUUUUGUAAUAGAGAGGGCUUUUGGUAGGCUUUUCCAUGUUUGUUGGAUUAUCAGCGGUACUCCAUUCACUAUUUUGUGGUCUAUAUUUACUGCACAUAGUGGAGGUAGGUGGGGAGUCCACCGUUAUGGCUGCCACCUACUAGUUUAGCCGGGUUUCUGAGUAGUUUUGCACUAGUGCUCUAGGAAAUAAAAAAAAUAAAAAAAGGAAAACAAGACAAUCGUAUUUUAGAGACUCCAUGAGAGGACAAAAUCAGAAUUUUCAAUCAAGGCUGUUGUAGCCUACAUCUUCAUCAUGAACACUGCAAGCCGUUGUUGACAAUUCCCUGAGUACCGGAGGUACUCUGACUGCACCUCAAUGGUAUUGAUCUCCUACACUGUAAAAUAUCAAGUGCAAGAUACUUAUAUUUCAGGUCCCCUGUUAGAUAUUUCUGAAUGAUAAUCAAAGGAGAUGCAUGAUUGGUGUAAGUUAGAAGGAAAAGUAUGUGGAGCACAACACAACAAGAUCUCUUACCUUUCGCAUUUGGGUGGGUUCCAUUCUGCACCUGUUAUCCAGCAUGAGGGCACUGAAGACGUAAGGUGUGUAGGAAGUACAAUGGUGUGCACCUUAUAACUUGUCAGUAGCUGUUCACGGUGCUAAACAUUCAUUAAUAUUCCAGAGUCUUUGCCAGUCCCUCUCAGCUGGUGUCCUCUCCUUUUAAAAUGACUUCUACCUCUUUACUUGUCCUUCAAAAGGGUUCUGCACUCUUCCAUAAAAAAAAAUUAUACGUAUGAUAAAAUAGUUCUUAUUCAAUAAGCAGUUUGUAAUAGGAUAUUUCUGUCACUUUAUAUUAUUACAGGCCGCAAAAGAGUGAAUUCAGAAACAGUGAGCACACAACCUGGUCUUCACGGUCUGGCAUCCAUCUGAUGAACUGGAGGACUCUACCCCUUUUUAUGCUUUACUAUCAUGAGAGGAAUAUAACACAGCCCAGGAAGAAUUAAUGCAUUCUCCACCCCUUCCAUACAACGUGACAGCUUGCUAUUUAUAGCCAAAUGCACUGAGCAUUAAACCUGCUCACCUGUUUCUUAGAGUAACUGGUGUAUUUAAUCCAAUCUGGUUGAUUCGCUAAAAUGAGAAUCGUCAGGAAUUCAAAGUGAAUUUUAAAUUUUAGAUCACAUUAACCAAACUGGAAAAAUGCAAACUAUGUUUUCAAGUCAGCUGUUUUGGACUCAAAUAUCGCAUUUACUAUGAAUCUGCCAAUUCAUACUUUAGUGACUAGCCCCAUAUCUGCAAACGUGUACCUGUCAUGGUACACAAAAUGUAUAUUCAUUUUGAAGAGUGUAGCAUUUAAUCUAUACGAUUAUAGGUAAAUGUAUAGAUUUUCAAUUAUUUUUUUAAUUAAAUAUAAAACUGCCUGCCCACCUGACAAUCAACCUCCGCCAUAGACACGGGCACAGAGUCUAUGCUGAAAAUAAAGUGAACUAAAUGAAGCAGGAGAACCCUCCUAACUGCUGUGUCAUUGA
Molecule: non-coding RNA, 16007 nt
Organism: Pelobates cultripes (western spadefoot toad)
Lineage: Eukaryota; Metazoa; Chordata; Amphibia; Anura; Pelobatidae
Source: the annotation of a GenBank genome assembly